AGAGUUUGAUCUGGCUCAGGACGAACGCUGGCGGCGUGCUUAACACAUGCAAGUCGAACGGUGAAGCCCUUCGGGGUGGAUCAGUGGCGAACGGGUGAGUAACACGUGGGUAAUCUGCCCUGCAUUCUGGGACAAGCCUUGGGAAACGAGGUCUAAUACCGGAUACGACGCAUCUCGGCAUCGGGUGUGCGUGGAAAGCUCUGGCGAUUCAGGAUGCCCGGCGGCCUAUCAGCUUGUUGGUGGGGUAACGGCUCACCAAGGCGACGACCCGUAGCUGGUCUGAGAGGGCGACCGGCCACACUGGGACUGAGACACGGCCCAGACUCCUACGGGAGGCAGCAGUGGGGAAUAUUGGACAAUGGGGGAAACCCUGAUCCAGCGACGCCGCGUGUGGGAAGAAGGCCUGCGGGUUGUAAACCACUUUCAGCGGGGACAAAC
Molecule: ribosomal RNA, 438 nt
Filed under: uncultured Actinomycetes bacterium
Lineage: Bacteria; Bacillati; Actinomycetota; Actinomycetes
Description: bacterial SSU rRNA
Rfam family: Bacterial small subunit ribosomal RNA
Source: RNAcentral